This 370-nucleotide ribosomal RNA is filed under the name uncultured bacterium. RNAcentral's name for it is "bacterial SSU rRNA". It matches the Rfam family "Bacterial small subunit ribosomal RNA", at positions 28 to 395 of the family's 1533-position model. The record is from RNAcentral.
GAUGAACGCUAGCGGCAGGCCUAAUACAUGCAAGCCGAACGGUAAGUUGAAUAGCAAUAUUUGACCUAGAGUGGCGCAAGGGUGCGUAACACGUAUGCAAUCUGCCCUCAACAGGAGGAUAGCUCCCCGAAAGGGGAAUUAACACUCCAUAAGAUCACGCGAAGGCAUCUGAGAGUGAUUAAAUCUACGGAGGUUGAGGAUGAGCAUGCGGAUGAUUAGCUAGUUGGCGGUGUAACGGACCACCAAGGCGAUGAUCAAUAGGGGAACUGAGAGGUUUAUCCCCCACACUGGCACUGAGAUACGGGCCAGACUCCUACGGGAGGCAGCAGUAGGGAAUAUUGGACAAUGGGCGCAAGCCUGAUCCAGCCAU